UGCAGAAGAAGCACCGGCCAAUUACGUGCCAGCAGCCGCGGUAAUACGUAGGGUGCAAGCGUUGUCCGGAAUUAUUGGGCGUAAAGAGCUCGUAGGCGGUUCGUCGCGUCGGCUGUGAAAUCCCGAGGCUCAACCUCGGGUCUGCAGUCGAUACGGGCGGACUGGAGUUCGGCAGGGGAGACUGGAAUUCCUGGUGUAGCGGUGAAAUGCGCAGAUAUCAGGAGGAACACCGGUGGCGAAGUCGGGUCUCUGGGCCGAUACUGACGCUGAGGAGCGAAAGCGUGGGGAGCGAACAGGAUUAGAUACCCUGGUAGUCCACGCCGUAAACGUUGGGCGCUAGGUGUGGGGGCCAUUCCACGGUCUCCGUGCCGCAGCUAACGCAUUAAGCGCCCCGCCUGGGGAGUACGGCCGCAAGGCUAAAACUCAAAGGAAUUGACGGGGGCCCGCACAAGCGGCGGAGCAUGUUGCUUAAUUCGAUGCAACGCGAAGAACCUUACCUAGGCUUGACAUGCACGGAAAUCUCGCAGAGAUGCGGGGUGCCUUUGGCGUCGUGCACAGGUGGUGCAUGGUUGUCGUCAGCUCGUGUCGUGAGAUGUUGGGUUAAGUCCCGCAACGAGCGCAACCCUAAUCGAAUUCCC
RNAcentral lists this ribosomal RNA (638 nucleotides) under uncultured Geodermatophilus sp. Its description in RNAcentral is "bacterial SSU rRNA". It matches the Rfam family "Bacterial small subunit ribosomal RNA", at positions 480 to 1119 of the family's 1533-position model. The record is from RNAcentral. Lineage: Bacteria; Bacillati; Actinomycetota; Actinomycetes; Geodermatophilales; Geodermatophilaceae.